This is an RNA transcript of Lagenorhynchus albirostris (white-beaked dolphin), 1609 nucleotides long. It is a transcript of the gene named transmembrane protein 258-like, with no coding region annotated. The transcript has 5 exons. The record is from RefSeq and is a predicted model, not a curated record. Lineage: Eukaryota; Metazoa; Chordata; Mammalia; Artiodactyla; Delphinidae.
UACCAAUGGCAAGUAGAGAUAUAUGCCUCCUAAACAAGAGACAACCUCUUCUAGACGCAUGGACUAUAUAAAACUUUCCCUUUGGCCUGACUGGGGAUCAAGCAAGCCUACCCUGGAUUGAUCAUAGUUACCAGCGAAUGCUAUAUCCUGACUUAGCCUAAUUAGGAUCUACCUCUGUACCGGGGAAAGGGUCAAGAUUCUAUGGAAUUACCUUAUUAUUCAGAUCACUGAAGUACAGCAUGCUAUUGACCAACUUAGAAAAUUGGAUACUGACAAAAUGAAACGGAUAACAGAAAUUAAGAUGAGAAAACAAGCAGUUUCAGAAUUACGCACGUUGAAAGCUGAACUGGCACAGAAGAAAUUUAUUACAUCUUUUCAAUCUCAAUAAGGAUCAUUCUGGGCAGUCUUCCUGAUGCCAUCACAGCCUCUGCCUGAACCCCAACAGGAAGGUCCAAAGCAGCAGGUGCAAACCCAGACGGGGAAAACUGGUGGAUUACUCUGUGUCCAGAAAAAUGGAGCUCAAGGCCACAAACAGAUACACCAUCCCAGGGAACCUUGCUGUCUUCCCCUAUCUGACCAUGGGGCUGCUAGCUAUUGGCUGGUUCUUCACUCGCUGGUACUUUGUUUAUGAAGCCACCUCCACCAAGCACGCUCAUGAUAUGUACAAAAAGCUUCUCAUCUCCUUGGUGGCCUUGCUAUUCAUUGACUUUGGAGUUCUCUUCCUGUUACUCUGGGUUGGCAUCUACAUAUGAGCUCCUAAGGGAUCCAACCAGGUAGAUUCAUUGAAUCUUGGUUUUUGUAAAUUAUUUUUUUUAACUGUUGCUGGAAGUGUCCCACCUGCUGCUCACAGUAAAGGCAGAUAAAGAGAGAGAGAGAAGAAAGAAAGAAAGAAAGAAGAAAGGAAGAAGAAGAAGAAGAAGAGAAAGAAAGAAAGCAAGAAAGAAAGAGAGAGAGAGAGAAAGAAAGAAGAAAGAAAGAGGAGGAAGGGACGGAGGGAAGGAGGAAAGAAGGAAGGAAGGAAUUAGGAAGGAAAGAAAGAAAUCCUGAAUAGGAACUUCAGAAUAAGUUUGAUGCUGGUAAGCUGCCCAGCAUUGCCCCUGACCUUCAGAACUAGGACCACGUCAUCCUCAUAGCAUUUACUCAGGGCCACAGCUGCAAAGUCAUGGAAACCUGCAAAGCAAGCCCAUCAUCAGACAAUAAAAAUCAUAAUAGCACUUAUGAUGUGCCAGGCACUGUUGAUUUAGUCAUUAAAAAAACCCAAAAAAGCAAAACUACCUUUUGUGGUAAUGCUAUUAUUAUCCCCCAUUAGAAUUCUCUAAAAAGGCCCCCCAAAUACCCAUAAGUAAUACAUGAAUCAGAGUUUAUCCAAAAUAAAUGUCAUAAGCUUCCGGCUAGCCCUAAUCUGCACUCCAUUAAAUAUGGCUUUGCCUGUGCUGAUGACACUAGUUGUUAGUUAAUUCUAAGGGAAGGAAACCAAGUCAGUGUUUAGGGUGUGGACUGACAGAUGGGUUAGCAAUUCAAAUCUUUCUCAAGUCAGGGGUUUUUAUUUUAUCUCCACAGCUACAGCCUAUGUACAGCACCCCACCUCUCAGUCCCCCAUUUCUAGAGC